This 863-nucleotide ribosomal RNA is filed under the name uncultured bacterium. RNAcentral describes it as "bacterial SSU rRNA". It matches the Rfam family "Bacterial small subunit ribosomal RNA", at positions 28 to 896 of the family's 1533-position model. The record is from RNAcentral.
GACGAACGCUGGCGGCGUGCCUAACACAUGCAAGUCGAGCGGAGAACAGCUGAAAGGUAACUAGAUGUUGUUCUUAGCGGCGGACGGGUGAGUAACGCGUGGGCAACCUGCCCUAUACAGGGGGAUAACACUAAGAAAUUGGUGCUAAUACCGCAUACUGAAGCAUUAUCGCAUGAUAGAGCUUUUAAAGGAGAAAUCCGGUAUAGGAUGGGCCCGCGUCUGAUUAGCUAGUUGGUGAGGUAACGGCUCACCAAGGCUGCGAUCAGUAGCCGACCUGAGAGGGUGAUCGGCCACACUGGAACUGAGACACGGUCCAGACUCCUACGGGAGGCAGCAGUGGGGAAUAUUGCACAAUGGGGGAAACCCUGAUGCAGCAACGCCGCGUGGAGGAAGAAGGUCUUCGGAUUGUAAACUCCUGUCUUCUGGGACGAAUAAUGACGGUACCAGAGGAGGAAGCCACGGCUAACUACGUGCCAGCAGCCGCGGUAAUACGUAGGUGGCAAGCGUUGUCCGGAAUUAUUGGGCGUAAAGGGCGCGUAGGCGGCACUCUAAGUCAGAUGUGAAAUCCCGGGGCUUAACUCCGGACGUGCAUUUGAAACUGGAGAGCUCGAGUGCAGGAGAGGUAAGUGGAAUUCCUAGUGUAGCGGUGAAAUGCGUAGAUAUUAGGAGGAACACCAGUGGCGAAGGCGACUUACUGGACUGUAACUGACGCUGAGGCGCGAAAGCGUGGGGAGCAAACAGGAUUAGAUACCCUGGUAGUCCACGCUGUAAACGAUGGAUACUAGGUGUGGGAGGUAUCGACCCCUUCCGUGCCGCAGUAAACGCAAUAAGUAUCCCGCCUGGGGAGUACGGCCGCAAGGUUG